UACGUAGGGUGCGAGCGUUGUCCGGAAUUAUUGGGCGUAAAGAGCUCGUAGGCGGUGUGUCACGUCGGCCGUGAAAACCUGCAGCUUAACUGUGGGCGUGCGGUCGAUACGGGCAUCACUGGAGUUCGGCAGGGGAGACUGGAAUUCCUGGUGUAGAGGUGAAAUUCGUAGAUAUCGGGAGGAACACCAGUGGCGAAGGCGGCGAUCUGGGAAGAUACUGACGCUGAGGUGCGAAAGCGUGGGGAGCAAACAGG
Molecule: ribosomal RNA, 254 nt
Filed under: uncultured bacterium
Lineage: Bacteria
Description: partial 16S ribosomal RNA
Rfam family: Bacterial small subunit ribosomal RNA
Source: RNAcentral